This 432-nucleotide long non-coding RNA is filed under the name Lynx pardinus (Iberian lynx). The record is from RNAcentral. Lineage: Eukaryota; Metazoa; Chordata; Mammalia; Carnivora; Felidae.
UUAAAUAUAGAUAUAUAUAUUCUAUAUAUGUUAUAUAUAGAAUAUACACAAAUAUUAUGUAUAUAAUAUACACAAAUAUAAUAUAUUAAUUAUAUAUAUAAUAUAUAUAAUAUACACAAAUAUAUAUAUGUAUACAUAUACGUAUAUGUAUACAUAUACGCAUAUAUGUAUAUAUAUGUAUACAUAUACGCAUAUAUAUGUAUACAUAUAUGUAUAUAUAUACACAUAUAUAUUUGUGUACGUUAUAUAUAUAAUAUACAUAAUAUAUAUAUAAUUAAUAUAUAUAUUAUAUUUGUGUAUAUUCUAUAUAUAUAUAAUAUAUAUAUAGAAUAUAUAUAUCUAUAUUUAAGGCCAAGAGGACAGUUAGUUUCUCUUUGAAUAUUCCUCUGCUAGCAGUUAAGGAUGGGUCAGACUGGACUAUUGGGGGCCAUU